Molecule: ribosomal RNA, 550 nt
Filed under: Salmonella enterica subsp. enterica serovar Brunei
Lineage: Bacteria; Pseudomonadati; Pseudomonadota; Gammaproteobacteria; Enterobacterales; Enterobacteriaceae
Description: partial 23S ribosomal RNA
Rfam family: Bacterial large subunit ribosomal RNA
Source: RNAcentral
AGGUUAACCGAAUAGGGGAGCCGGAGGGAAACCGAGUCUUAACCGGGCGUUAAGUUGCAGGGUAUAGACCCGAAACCCGGUGAUCUAGCCAUGGGCAGGUUGAAGGUUGGGUAACACUAACUGGAGGACCGAACCGACUAAUGUUGAAAAAUUAGCGGAUGACCUGUGGCUGGGGGUGAAAGGCCAAUCAAACCGGGAGAUAGCUGGUUCUCCCCGAAAGCUAUUUAGGUAGCGCCUCGUGAAUUCAUCUCCGGGGGUAGAGCACUGUUUCGGCUAGGGGGCCAUCCCGGCUUACCAACCCGAUGCAAACUGCGAAUACCGGAGAAUGUUAUCACGGGAGACACACGGCGGGUGCUAACGUCCGUCGUGAAGAGGGAAACAACCCAGACCGCCAGCUAAGGUCCCAAAGUCAUGGUUAAGUGGGAAACGAUGUGGGAAGGCCCAGACAGCCAGGAUGUUGGCUUAGAAGCAGCCAUCAUUUAAAGAAAGCGUAAUAGCUCACUGGUCGAGUCGGCCUGCGCGGAAGAUGUAACGGGGCUAAACCAUGCAC